GAUGAACGCUGGCGGCGUGCCUAAUACAUGCAAGUCGAGCGAACGGACGAGAAGCUUGCUUCUCUGAUGUUAGCGGCGGACGGGUGAGUAACACGUGGAUAACCUACCUAUAAGACUGGGAUAACUUCGGGAAACCGUAGCUAAUACCGGAUAAUAUUUUGAACCGCAUGGUUCAAAAGUGAAAGACGGUCUUGCUGUCACUUAUAGAUGGAUCCGCGCUGCAUUAGCUAGUUGGUAAGGUAACGGCUUACCAAGGCAACGAUGCAUAGCCGACCUGAGAGGGUGAUCGGCCACACUGGAACUGAGACACGGUCCAGACUCCUACGGGAGGCAGCAGUAGGGAAUCUUCCGCAAUGGGCGAAAGCCUGACGGAGCAACGCCGAGUGAGUGAUGAAGGUCUUCGGAUCGUAAAACUCUGUUAUUAGGGAAGAACAUAUGUGUAAGUAACUGUGCACAUCUUGACGGUACUUAAUCAGAAAGCCACGGCUAACUACGUG
RNAcentral lists this ribosomal RNA (497 nucleotides) under uncultured bacterium. RNAcentral's name for it is "partial 16S ribosomal RNA". It matches the Rfam family "Bacterial small subunit ribosomal RNA", at positions 28 to 507 of the family's 1533-position model. The record is from RNAcentral.